Molecule: ribosomal RNA, 262 nt
Filed under: uncultured archaeon
Lineage: Archaea
Description: partial 16S ribosomal RNA
Rfam family: Archaeal small subunit ribosomal RNA
Source: RNAcentral
AGGGUGUAAACGCUGCAGACUUGGUGUUGGAGGCCCUUUGGGGGCAUUCAGUGCCGGAGAGAAGUUGUUAAGUCUGCUACUUGGGGAGUACGUCCGCAAGGAUGAAACUUAAAGGAAUUGGCGGGGGGAGCACCGCAACGGGAGGAGCGUGCGGUUUAAUUGGAUUCAACGCCGAAAAACUCACCAGCAGCGACUGUUACAUGAAAGUCAGGUUGAUGACCUUACUAGAUUUUCAGAGAGGAGGUGCAUGGCGUCAGUGACU